GCUUAACUGCAUUUUUUCUUACACAUGUGUUUUUCUUUUUUUGAAAACUUUGCUUUGGUAGGCCUUCUAUAUGGGGCCUGCCAGAGAUUAAACUCAACCAAAUUUUAUUUAAUGUCAACCGAUUAUUUAAUAGUCAAAACUUUCAACAACGGAUCUCUUGGUUCUCGCAUCGAUGAAGAACGCAGCGAAAUGCGAUAAGUAAUAUGAAUUGCAGAUAUUCGUGAAUCAUCGAAUCUUUGAACGCACAUUGCGCCCUUUGGUAUUCCAAAGGGCAUGCCUGUUUGAGCGUCAUUUCUCCCUCAAACCCUCGGGUUUGGUGUUGAGCGAUACGCUGGGUUUGCUUGAAAGAAAGGCGGAGUAUAAACUAAUGGAUAGGUUUUUUCCACUCAUUGGUACAAACUCCAAAACUUCUUCCAAAUUCGACCUCAAAUCAGGUAGGACUACCCGCUGAACUUAAGCAUAUCAAUAAGCGGAGGAA
Molecule: ribosomal RNA, 478 nt
Filed under: Lodderomyces parapsilosis
Lineage: Eukaryota; Fungi; Ascomycota; Pichiomycetes; Serinales; Debaryomycetaceae
Description: eukaryotic LSU rRNA
Rfam family: 5.8S ribosomal RNA (bases 138-291)
Source: RNAcentral